CAGUAGCCGCGGGAAUACGUAGGGUGCAAGCGUUAAUCGGAAUUACUGGGCGUAAAGCGUGCGCAGGCGGUUUUGUAAGACAGAGGUGAAAUCCCCGGGCUCAACCUGGGAACUGCCUUUGCGACUGCAAGGCUGGAGUGCGGCAGAGGGGGAUGGAAUUCCGCGUGUAGCAGUGAAAUGCGUAGAUAUGCGGAGGAACACCGAUGGCGAAGGCAAUCCCCUGGGCCUGCACUGACGCUCAUGCACGAAAGCGUGGGGAGCAAACAGGAUUAGAUACCCGUGUAGUCCCUGUCUCUUAUAC
RNAcentral lists this ribosomal RNA (301 nucleotides) under uncultured bacterium. Its description in RNAcentral is "partial 16S ribosomal RNA". It matches the Rfam family "Bacterial small subunit ribosomal RNA", at positions 509 to 807 of the family's 1533-position model. The record is from RNAcentral.